CAGCAGCCGCGGUAAUACGGAGGGUGCGAGCGUUAAUCGGAAUUACUGGGCGUAAAGCGUACGCAGGCGGUUUGUUAAGUCAGAUGUGAAAUCCCCGAGCUUAACUCGGGAACUGCAUUUGUGACUGGCAAGCUAGAGUGUGGCAGAGGAUGGUGGAAUUCCCGGUGUAGCGGUGAAAUGCGUAGAGAUCGGGAGGAACAUCAGUGGCGAAGGCGGCCAUCUGGGACAACACUGACGCUGAGGCACGAAAGCGUGGGGAGCAAACAGGAUUAGAGACCCCCGUAGUCCCUGUCUCUUAUAC
Molecule: ribosomal RNA, 301 nt
Filed under: uncultured bacterium
Lineage: Bacteria
Description: partial 16S ribosomal RNA
Rfam family: Bacterial small subunit ribosomal RNA
Source: RNAcentral